This 478-nucleotide ribosomal RNA is filed under the name uncultured bacterium. RNAcentral describes it as "bacterial SSU rRNA". It matches the Rfam family "Bacterial small subunit ribosomal RNA", at positions 30 to 524 of the family's 1533-position model. The record is from RNAcentral.
AUUGAACGCUGGCGGCAUGCCUUACACAUGCAAGUCGAACGGCAGCACGGGGGCAACCCUGGUGGCGAGUGGCGAACGGGUGAGUAACAUAUCGGAACAUACCCUAGAGUGGGGGAUAACGUAGCGAAAGUUACGCUAAUACCGCAUACGAUCUAAGGAUGAAAGUGGGGGAUCUUCGGACCUCAUGCUCAUGGAGUGGCCGAUAUCUGAUUAGCUAGUUGGUGAGGUAAAGGCUCACCAAGGCGACGAUCAGUAGCUGGUUUGAGAGAACGACCAGCCACACUGGAACUGAGACACGGUCCAGACUCCUACGGGAGGCAGCAGUGGGGAAUUUUGGACAAUGGGGACAACCCUGAUCCAGCAAUGCCGCGUGAGUGAUGAAGGCCUUAGGGUUGUAAAGCUCUUUUACCCGGGAUGAUAAUGACAGUACCGGGAGAAUAAGCCCCCGGCGUAACUCCGUGCCAGCAGCCGCGGUAAU